Molecule: long non-coding RNA, 1862 nt
Organism: Armigeres subalbatus
Lineage: Eukaryota; Metazoa; Arthropoda; Insecta; Diptera; Culicidae
Exons: 3
Source: RefSeq, a predicted model, not a curated record
UACAAACCGUCAUUUCAAAAGCAACACAAUUGAGUUCACCCCUACCGGAGUGCAAUAGGCCUUUGCGGCGAAACCCGGCUGUCAUCGACUUUAUUUGACAAGCACACGCACACUGAAGCUCAGCCCGAAACCAACCGCCAAACGUUCAACAGCCGCGCAAUUUGCCUGCCAGGCAGGUGAAAGUCUCCCAUUUUGAGAUUUUGGUCGACUCUUGCUGCUAGAAACACGUGUAUUCGGUGUGGCUGGAGUACAGGGCCACGAUAAUUGGAAUCAGAACAGGCCGGAGUUCGUUUUUUUGAGGCCCACUUUGCCGAAAAGCUGACCACGUAACACGAGCACGAGCAAGAAGAACCGAAUCUACGAAUUGCCGGCGGCAUAAGCGGUCCUGAGCAGCAUCCGACCAUCCAGACAAGAUCCUCGUUAAUCGCAGAUUGAAAACACGAUCGACCCGGGUAGAAUCGUCCGGACAGGAAAAUUGUGCCGAAAGAAGCCCCUGAACAGGGGCUUUUCUUUUUCCUUGUUUCGGUCUCGAUUGGCAGAUCAGCGAGCUGCGGUAAAUCCGGCAGGGAAUCGAAUCUCAAGGAGGUGAAAUUUGUGUGCGCUGCCAGAGCACAACGCGGACAAGGCAGGCUACGGUUGCUUCGAGACGGGAGCCCCGGAGUGCAAGUAGCUGGAGACUGGGAGAAACUCGGAGACGUCGGCAACGGAAACGGCAGGACCAAGUCCCUCGGAGGGAUCCCAUCCAGCAUCCCGGUCGCGCUGGACGGCCAGAGGGGUCCCCAGCGGAGGGACUGGUGUUUGUGUGCAAAGUUGGUGAGCGGCUUGCGAGGAUUGAGACGGCAUGAAUAUCGCUGUGCAGAAAACCUUAGGGGGACGCCCCGUAGAGUCGAACCGUGAGUAGAAAUUACGAGAAAAUUAUGUUAGCCUGUAAGAAGAAAGAAGUAGAGAAGUAGAAGUAGGAUGGAGAGAGUAUAGAUGAAGAGAUAAGAAGGCGGUAGGAGGAAGAUUAGGGCAAAUGCCCCAAAUAUAUGUAUUGAUUUGAAAAAAAAAAAAAAAAAAAAAAGUAUUGCGAGUUUCCGGUAGCGGGUAGAGCAGAACUACCAAAGUGGACACAAAGCAAACAAAACUGGAGGGCUAAAGCACCAACAAGACAAAUAAAGCCACAAAUCUCAAAAAACUAAAUCUAUUCUAAACCUCAAUAACGGUAGCGAAUCCUACUAAAAGUUGUCUGAACGCCAACGAGUCUUGGCAAAUUGUCCUAUAAUCAGAUUCUUUACUACACUAAACUAACUCUGUUGAUCCUACAUUGAAUUGGAUUACAAAUGAUUCUCGCGAAAAAUCAAAUGAAUCCCACACUAAACAAUCAAAUCGAUACUUGUCGUAAUCUCAAAUCUGCAUUCGUAUCAUUGUGGGUUUUUUAGCUGGGCGCCAGUGUAACAAGCCCCACGUUACAAUUAUUUUAUACAAACAUAAAAAUACUCAAUCAACAUGAAACAAAUAACAAAUUAAAAUAAUGCACGUUCUCUCCUGGUGCCCUGAGAGACGGCUUGAUGGUGCCCACUACGGGAAAUGACGAGGUUUCAUAUAAGAUUUUGGUCCAUCACACAAAUCCCGCAAUAUAUAUUUUUAUUGCGUAUUACGCAUUUCGUCUACAGCAAACAGUUUGCUGUAUUCAUAGCUGAGCUUUUGUAUAGGAUUCUUAUCCUAUUUGGGCACCUCGAAUCAAUUAAUGCCAUUUGGCAUCAACGAUUCGAUGUCUGUGUCUGGAACAAACUUGGGACAAAUCACCACUAAAUAUUUUAUUGCCUACUUUCAGGCUUUCCUCUUCAGUCCAGACACUGAAUCAACAAAUAAAACAUACA